RNAcentral lists this ribosomal RNA (438 nucleotides) under uncultured bacterium. Its description in RNAcentral is "bacterial SSU rRNA". It matches the Rfam family "Bacterial small subunit ribosomal RNA", at positions 338 to 795 of the family's 1533-position model. The record is from RNAcentral.
CCUACGGGUUGCAGCAGUGGGGAAUAUUGGACAAUGGGCGAAAGCCUGAUCCAGCAAUGCCGCGUGUGUGAAGAAGGUCUUCGGAUUGUAAAGCACUUUCGACGGGGACGAUGAUGACGGUACCCGUAGAAGAAGCCCCGGCUAACUUCGUGCCAGCAGCCGCGGUAAUACGAAGGGGGCUAGCGUUGCUCGGAAUGACUGGGCGCAAAGGGCACGUAGGCGGUGAACCGGGUUGAAAGUGAAAGUCGCCAAAGACUGGCGGAAGACUCUCGAAACCAAUUCACUUGAGUGAGACAGAGGAGAGUGGAAUUUCGUGUGUAGGGGUGAAAUCCGGAGAUCUACGAAGGAUCGCCAAAAGCGAAGGCAGCUCUCUGGGUCCCUACCGACGCUGGAGUGCGAAAGCAUGGGGAGCGAACGGGAUUAGAUACCCCUGUAGUC